AAAAAAAGAAUGGACAAUACUGAUGAACCACACAUCCCGGUUGGGCCUGCUAAGUUUUUCCCGUCGUUGUUGGAGGGUCAGUACCGAAUCCAGGUCGAAAUCCAUGGACGCGAUUGAGUGGUGAGGAGCGGUUUUAAAAAAACCUUUAAAAAGCUUCGGGCCCUCAUCAAUCAAAUCUUUUCAUCUCCUCACCAGCCAAUCUACAUCUGGAAUCAAUGGUCAGAUUCAUCAUUUUAGCAUAAUCUUUUAUACGGUGGGUUAUUCAAAAUAAUAUUAGAGGAUGGACGGCUCUGAUUCCUCGAUGUUCUCUGCAUCGCAUGCUCAUAAUCUUUGGGCGUAGAAAUUGGUGCAAGUUCCUCUUAAGGCACUUGUAGAAUAAACAUGUUAUACACGUUAUCUUUUGCAUGAAAAGAUUAUCCACUAUACAUAUUCAGUACUA
This is a long non-coding RNA of Magnolia sinica, 439 nucleotides long. RefSeq lists it as uncharacterized. The transcript has 2 exons. The record is from RefSeq and is a predicted model, not a curated record. NCBI's taxonomy places the organism in Eukaryota, Viridiplantae, Streptophyta, Magnoliopsida, Magnoliales, Magnoliaceae.